This is a small nuclear RNA of Suricata suricatta (meerkat), 107 nucleotides long. Lineage: Eukaryota; Metazoa; Chordata; Mammalia; Carnivora; Herpestidae. The record is from Ensembl.
GUGCUCACUUCAGCAGCUCAUAUACUAAAAUUGGAAUGAUACAGAGAAGAUUAGCAUGGUCCCUGAUCAAGGAUGACAUGGAAAUUCUUCAAACAUUCUGUAUUAAA